This 744-nucleotide ribosomal RNA is filed under the name uncultured bacterium. RNAcentral describes it as "bacterial SSU rRNA". It matches the Rfam family "Bacterial small subunit ribosomal RNA", at positions 8 to 796 of the family's 1533-position model. The record is from RNAcentral.
AGAGUUUGAUCCUGGCUCAGAGCGAACGCUGGCGGCAGGCUUAACACAUGCAAGUCGAGCGGGCACCUUCGGGUGUCAGCGGCAGACGGGUGAGUAACACGUGGGAACGUGCCCAUCGGUUCGGAACAACCCAGGGAAACUUGGGCUAAUACCGGAUACGACCUUACGGUGAAAGAUUUAUCGCCGAUGGAUCGGCCCGCGUCUGAUUAGCUAGUUGGUGGGGUAACGGCCUACCAAGGCGACGAUCAGUAGCUGGUCUGAGAGGAUGAUCAGCCACACUGGGACUGAGACACGGCCCAGACUCCUACGGGAGGCAGCAGUGGGGAAUAUUGGACAAUGGGCGAAAGCCUGAUCCAGCCAUGCCGCGUGAGUGAUGAAGGCCUUAGGGUUGUAAAGCUCUUUCGGCGGGGACGAUAAUGACGGUACCCGCAGAAGAAGCCCCGGCUAACUUCGUGCCAGCAGCCGCGGUAAUACGAAGGGGGCUAGCGUUGCUCGGAAUCACUGGGCGUAAAGGGCGCGUAGGCGGCCGAUCAAGUCAGAGGUGAAAGCCCAAGGCUCAACCUUGGAAUUGCCUUUGAUACUGUUCGGCUCGAGACCGGAAGAGGUAAGUGGAACUGCGAGUGUAGAGGUGAAAUUCGUAGAUAUUCGCAAGAACACCAGUGGCGAAGGCGCUCUGCUGGACCAUAACUGACACUCAGGGACGAAAGCUAGGGGAGCGAAUGGGAUUAGAUACCCCCGUAGUCC